ACGGGAGGCAGCAGUGGGGGAUAUUGCACAAUGGGGGAAACCCUGAUGCAGCGACGCCGCGUGAGUGAUGAAGUAUUUCGGUAUGUAAAGCUCUAUCAGCAGGGAAGAAAAUGACGGUACCUGACUAAGAAGCUCCGGCUAAAUACGUGCCAGCAGCCGCGGUAAUACGUAUUGAGCAAGCGUUAUCCGGAUUUACUGGGUGUAAAGGGAGCGUAGACGGUUUGCCAAGUCUGAUGUGAAAGCUAGGGGCUCAACCCCUAAACUGCAUUGGAAACUGGUAGACUAGAGUGUCGGAGAGGUAAGUGGAAUUCCUAGUGUAGCGGUGAAACGCGUAGAUAUUAGGAGGAACACCAGUGGCGAAGGCGGCUUACUGGACGAUAACUGACGUUGAGGCUCGAAAGCGUGGGGAGCAAACAGGAUUAGAUACCCUGGUA
RNAcentral lists this ribosomal RNA (434 nucleotides) under uncultured Lachnospiraceae bacterium. Its description in RNAcentral is "partial 16S ribosomal RNA". It matches the Rfam family "Bacterial small subunit ribosomal RNA", at positions 341 to 792 of the family's 1533-position model. The record is from RNAcentral. Lineage: Bacteria; Bacillati; Bacillota; Clostridia; Lachnospirales; Lachnospiraceae.